Molecule: ribosomal RNA, 141 nt
Filed under: uncultured bacterium
Lineage: Bacteria
Description: partial 16S rRNA
Rfam family: Bacterial small subunit ribosomal RNA
Source: RNAcentral
UGGGGAAUUUUCCGCAAUGGGCGAAAGCCUGACGGAGCAAUGCCGCGUGGAGGUGGAAGGCCUACGGGUCGUCAACUUCUUUUCUCGGAGAAGAAACAAUGACGGUAUCUGAGGAAUAAGCAUCGGCUAACUCUGCGCCAA